Nycticebus coucang (slow loris) is the source of this 416-nucleotide long non-coding RNA. RefSeq lists it as uncharacterized. The transcript has 3 exons. NCBI's taxonomy places the organism in Eukaryota, Metazoa, Chordata, Mammalia, Primates, Lorisidae. The record is from RefSeq and is a predicted model, not a curated record.
AAAGGAGAGAAGAAAGAAAAAAAGGAAGAAAGAAGCUGUAACAUCUCGUAUGCAACCAGAUGUUGUUUUAAAUUUUUCUGAUCACAGUGGAAGUGGAAAUCCUCUCUGUGGAGCCCCAAGCUCUUUCCUCACCCUUCUCCACUCUGCUCCAUGUUCCUGGGCCUGCACGAAUGAUCUGCAUCGAUGGGCUCUCUAGCCCUCUGGCUUCUGAGAUUACCUUCCUCCACAUAACUCCAAAGUUGUUCCUACAGGGAAAUCUAUUCCAGCCCACCUUCAACCCUCCUGCCUACACUUGUUCUUGAUGACUUCCUGGCCACAGGCACUGUUCCCCUGCUAGCCUGUCCUGGCCCUCUCAACACUCAUCCAUAGUCCAACAGCACUGAAACCCAUACACUUUAUGGAUCUGACUGAGCCAC